This 653-nucleotide ribosomal RNA is filed under the name uncultured marine bacterium. Its description in RNAcentral is "bacterial SSU rRNA". It matches the Rfam family "Bacterial small subunit ribosomal RNA", at positions 816 to 1482 of the family's 1533-position model. The record is from RNAcentral.
CUCGCUGUUGGCGAUAUACUGUCAGCGGCCAAGCGAAAGUAUUAAGUGAUGCACCUGGGGAGUACGCCGGCAACGGUGAAACUCAAAGGAAUUGACGGGGGCCCGCACAAGCGGUGGAGCAUGUGGUUUAAUUCGAUGAUACGCGAGGAACCUUACCAGGGCUUAAAUGUAGUAUGACCGGCUUAGAAAUAGGCCUUCUCUUCGGAGCAGAUUACAAGAUGCUGCAUGGUUGUCGUCAGCUCGUGCCGUGAGGUGUUAGGUUAAGUCCUGCAACGAGCGCAACCCCUAUUCUUAGUUGCCAGCGGUUCGGCCGGGGACUCUAAGAAGACUGCCAGCGCAAGCUGAGAGGAAGGUGGGGAUGACGUCAAAUCAUCACGGCCCUUACGUCCUGGGCUACACACGUGCUACAAUGGUAGAGACAGAGGGCAGCCACCUGGUGACAGGGAGCGAAUCCUUAAACUCUAUCUCAGUUCGGAUCGAAGUCUGCAACUCGACUUCGUGAAGCUGGAAUCGCUAGUAAUCGCGCAUCAGCCAUGGCGCGGUGAAUACGUUCCCGGGCCUUGUACACACCGCCCGUCAAGCCAUGGAAGCUGGGGGCACCUGAAGUCGGUAACCGUAAGGAGCCGCCUAGGGUGAAACUGGUAACUAGGGCU